CCUACGGGAGGCAGCAGUGGGGAAUAUUGGGCAAUGGGCGCAAGCCUGACCCAGCAACGCCGCGUGAAGGAAGAAGGCUUUCGGGUUGUAAACUUCUUUUCUCAGUGACGAAGCAAGCGACGGUACCUGACGAAUAAGCCACGGCUAACUACGUGCCAGCAGCCGCGGUAAUACGUAGGGGGCAAGCGUUAUCCGGAUUUACUGGGUGUAAAGGGCGUGUAGGCGGGACUGCAAGUCAGAUGUGAAAACCACGGGCUCAACCUGUGGCCUGCAUUUGAAACUGUAGUUCUUGAGUGCUGGAGAGGCAGACGGAAUUCCUAGUGUAGCGGUGAAAUGCAUAGAUAUUAGGAGGAACACCAGUGGCGAAGGCGGUCUGCUGGACAGCAACUGACGCUGAGGCGCGAAAGCGUGGGGAGCAAACAGGAUUAGAUACCCCUGUAGUC
Molecule: ribosomal RNA, 443 nt
Filed under: uncultured bacterium
Lineage: Bacteria
Description: partial 16S ribosomal RNA
Rfam family: Bacterial small subunit ribosomal RNA
Source: RNAcentral